AUGCAGCCGCACCAGAAACCAUCCCCAAAUGGAGAAGGCAAUGAGAAAUGGGUGCAGAUCUGGAUAACAGAGGUGGAGUGGCGUUUUGCUGCCCUCUGCAUCACCCUCAGCGCCGCACUGACCCCGGGGCUGCGAUCUGGAAAUCCAUGCUUGCAGGGUGAGCAAGAGCUGGGACGGAUCGUGGGGCACGCAUGUGAGUGGAGCAGGGCGGAGGUUUGCACGCUGCAAGCACCAGCGUUUGGUUUGUCAUCCAAGGGAAACAAAACCUCAGCCCUGAGCAUCUCCCAAGCGCAGCCUUUGGGACACGGUCAGCUCCACGUCCCUGCUCUGCGUGCUGAGCCUGGAGGAUGGUGCAGAGGGAUGGAGGAUGCAGAGGGAUGGAGGAUGCAGAGGGAUGGAAGAUGCAGAAGGAUGGAGGAUGCAGAAGGAUGCAGGAUGCAUGGGACACCUGAGCCGAUGGCACAGCUCCUGCUGCAGCCAGGAUGCAACCCCUGGGACUCGCAGCCUGGUGCUCUGUGGGAAAGGGCAGCCCUGGAGCUAUAAGGAGCAGCAGCCCGACAUGCCACCAGCACUGUGCAGCUCUGCUUUUCCCACAGAGCACCAGGACCAGCCUGCUGCAUUCCUGGAAUGCUAUUUUAUCCCCAGCACGAUUUACAAAAGAGCCUGGCGAUGGCGGAGGGGCUCGGCGGUGACCUUGUUUAUAUUGCGGGAGCGAUAGGAAAAGCAGUUUGCGUCCUGAACUGCCCAUAAAAAUGGGCUCUGUUGUUGUUGUUGUGCGCGUGCUUUGCUUUGUUUUAUCGCCAUUCCCUGAAACACGGAGCAAAAAUCCUCUGGGAGGCGGAUUGCCUCCAGCCCAUGCCCCUGCCAUGCUGAGAUCCCAGCGGGAGCGCAGCACCAGCACCACCAGCACCACCGGUUCCACUGGGAGCGACCCAACCUGCAGCCACCCCUCUGCAAACCACCCCAGGAAGCUGCCAGGAAGCCCAGCACGCUCCUCACGAAAGGCACAUUGCCACGGGGCCGGGCCCGCCUGCUGCAGGAGAUUAAUUAUUAUUCAAGUGCUGAUAAAGCGAGCAAGUUAAAUCCAGCGAUAAAGGGUUAGAUAAAGCGGAGCUGCUCUGUUUGCAUUUUAUGGCAGGCAGGAGCUGGCUGCUCGCUGCUAACCGGGCUCUGGCGGCUGUUGCAGCCUUUGGGGACGUGUGACCCUGUGCUGGCUGCAGUGGGGUUGCAAUAUCCUGAUGUUCCUGCACUUGGUUUGCAGCUGGAAAAGCAAACGCUGGAUGCACGGUGCUGGGGUUCUCUGCUUCGGGCGAUGGGUCCUGUGCUGGUCACUGGUGCUCAAUAGUGGCCAUCAAAGUGGGGACACCCCCAGAGCUCUGCUGUAUCCGUGUCACCGUGUCCUGCAAGGAUGCAGCAGGGGUAGCAGCGCUGCAGGAUGCUCUCAUUCCCCAGCCUGGAGCAUCUCUUAGUGGUCCGGUGACGGUGGGACGCUGGGGUGCAGGGUGUUGGGAGCCAUCCUGGGCACAGUUUGCCCUCACCCCUG
Molecule: long non-coding RNA, 1543 nt
Filed under: Numida meleagris (helmeted guineafowl)
Lineage: Eukaryota; Metazoa; Chordata; Aves; Galliformes; Numididae
Description: lncRNA (ENSNMEG00000014853.1)
Source: RNAcentral